This 392-nucleotide ribosomal RNA is filed under the name uncultured bacterium. RNAcentral describes it as "partial 16S ribosomal RNA". It matches the Rfam family "Bacterial small subunit ribosomal RNA", at positions 523 to 918 of the family's 1533-position model. The record is from RNAcentral.
AUACGGAGGAUCCGAGCGUUAUCCGGAUUUAUUGGGUUUAAAGGGUGCGCAGGCGGCCAUUUAAGUCGGCGGUUAAAUCGUGGGGCUCAACCCCAUUCUGCCGUUGAUACUGGGUGGCUUGAUUGCGGUCGAGGUUGGCGGAAUUCGUUGUGUAGCGGGGAAAUGCAUAGAUAUGACGAAGAACACCGAUUGCGUAGGCAGCUGACCAGACCGCAAAUGACGCUCAUGCACGAAAGUGCGGGGAUCGAACAGGAUUAGAUACCCUGGUAGUCCGCACAGUAAACGAUGAAUACUUGUUUUCGGCGAUAUAAUGUCGGAGGCAAAGCGAAAGCGAUAAGUAUUCCACCUGGGGAGUACGCCGGCAACGGUGAAACUCAAAUGAAUUGACGGGG